Molecule: ribosomal RNA, 449 nt
Filed under: uncultured bacterium
Lineage: Bacteria
Description: bacterial SSU rRNA
Rfam family: Bacterial small subunit ribosomal RNA
Source: RNAcentral
UAGGGAAUCUUCCACAAUGGACGAAAGUCUGAUGGAGCAACGCCGCGUGAGUGAUGAAGGUUUUCGGAUCGUAAAACUCUGUUGUAAGGGAAGAACAAGUACGUUAGUAACUGAACGUACCUUGACGGUACCUUAUUAGAAAGCCACGGCUAACUACGUGCCAGCAGCCGCGGUAAUACGUAGGUGGCAAGCGUUGUCCGGAUUUAUUGGGCGUAAAGCGCGCGCAGGUGGUUUCUUAAGUCUGAUGUGAAAGCCCACGGCUCAACCGUGGAGGGUCAUUGGAAACUGGGAGACUUGAGUGCAGAAGAGGAAAGUGGAAUUCCAAGUGUAGCGGUGAAAUGCGUAGAGAUUUGGAGGAACACCAGUGGCGAAGGCGACUUUCUGGUCUGUAACUGACACUGAGGCGCGAAAGCGUGGGGAGCAAACAGGAUUAGAUACCCCUGUAGUCC